Non-coding RNA from Lentinula aff. lateritia, 97 nucleotides. NCBI's taxonomy places the organism in Eukaryota, Fungi, Basidiomycota, Agaricomycetes, Agaricales, Omphalotaceae. The record is from the annotation of a GenBank genome assembly.
GGUUUGAUGGCGUAGUUGGUUAUCGCAUCUGUCUAACACCGUCCAGCAAGGUUGCGAUGUUCACAGAAGGUCCCCGGUUCGAGCCCGGGUCAAAUCA